RNAcentral lists this long non-coding RNA (374 nucleotides) under Heterocephalus glaber (naked mole-rat). RNAcentral describes it as "lncRNA (ENSHGLG00100049938.1)". The record is from RNAcentral. Lineage: Eukaryota; Metazoa; Chordata; Mammalia; Rodentia; Bathyergidae.
AGCCCUCAUUUUAUACCUGGAUCUAAGCAGAGCCUCUAAAGGAAUAAAGGCGUAAGGAUAAAGAGCAACUACAGAGAGGCUGCCUGGCAUUUCACAGGUGGCAGAAGAAAUAUACGUCACAGCAAAGCAUAGCUACAUACUAGCAGAAGAGGAAAACGGAUAAAUUUAGUGCUAAAAUGAUUUUGCAAAGCCACUCUGAGGGGAUUAAGAAAGAACUGGGAAAUUCCUAAUCAAUAUAACUGAGAGCUUCCUUCUCCUGCUGAGUCCCUCGAAGGUCAGAUUUGACUGGGACAUUUGAAGGUUGAUAUUCUGCAGCGUAUCUUCUAGAUCCCGAACCUGCAUCAUAAGAACAAUCUUACCUUGCUACACAAAAC